RNAcentral lists this ribosomal RNA (486 nucleotides) under uncultured bacterium. RNAcentral's name for it is "partial 16S ribosomal RNA". It matches the Rfam family "Bacterial small subunit ribosomal RNA", at positions 30 to 507 of the family's 1533-position model. The record is from RNAcentral.
AUUGAACGCUGGCGGCAUGCCUUACACAUGCAAGUCGAACGGCAGCACGGGUGCUUGCACCUGGUGGCGAGUGGCGAACGGGUGAGUAAUACAUCGGAACAUGUCCUGUAGUGGGGGAUAGCCCGGCGAAAGCCGGAUUAAUACCGCAUACGAUCUACGGAUGAAAGCGGGGGACCUUCGGGCCUCGCGCUAUAGGGUUGGCCGAUGGCUGAUUAGCUAGUUGGUGGGGUAAAGGCCCACCAAGGCGACGAUCAGUAGCUGGUCUGAGAGGACGACCAGCCACACUGGGACUGAGACACGGCCCAGACUCCUACGGGAGGCAGCAGUGGGGAAUUUUGGACAAUGGGCGAAAGCCUGAUCCAGCAAUGCCGCGUGUGUGAAGAUGGCCUUCGGGUUGUAAAGCACUUUUGUCCGGAAAGAAAUCCUUGGCCCUAAUACGGUCGGGGGAUGACGGUACCGGAAGAAUAAGCACCGGCUAACUACGUG